Molecule: non-coding RNA, 30 nt
Filed under: Mus musculus (house mouse)
Lineage: Eukaryota; Metazoa; Chordata; Mammalia; Rodentia; Muridae
Source: RNAcentral
UCUUUGGUAGCCUCUCCACCUUUCUUGGCC